This is an RNA transcript of Cannabis sativa, 1967 nucleotides long. It is a transcript of the gene named probable DNA primase large subunit, with no coding region annotated. The record is from RefSeq and is a predicted model, not a curated record. NCBI's taxonomy places the organism in Eukaryota, Viridiplantae, Streptophyta, Magnoliopsida, Rosales, Cannabaceae. The transcript has 20 exons.
CAAUAAAAACAGAAAGAGAAGGGAGAAAUUCAGAAUAGGUUUGUUUCCAUUUCUCAGUUUGAUUUUGCACUUUCUCACUGCUUUCAGAAGAAGAAGAAUAAGAAAAUUAUGCAGACCGUUCGAACUCAACGGAAACCCUUGGUCAACGAUGUCCUUUCUCCUCUCCCUCUCUACCGUUCGGCUCCCGCGCUUGAAGUCAGGCUCGAAGAUUUUGAGCUUUUCGCCAUGGAUCGCCUCCGAGUGCUUAAAGGAAUUUCUGAUGGAUUGUCUAGAGGAAAGAGAGCAGAAGAAAUGGUGAAAUUGGAAAAAGAUCCGUGGACGAAAAAUAUGAGGCAGCCACAUCCAUCUGAAGAUCUGAACAAGGAUAUUAUAUCCCACUUUGUUCUCCGUCUUGUGUAUUGCAGAACUGAGGACUUGAGAAAAUGGUUUCUUUCUAUGGAGACUGCUCUAUUUCGUUACCGUUUUGGCCAGGGAACUCCUGAAGUUCAGAGGGCUCUUAUGGCUGAAUUUGGCCUUUCAUACAAGGCAGUUAGUAAUUCAGAAUUUGAGAGUGUAAAAGAUAAGUUGGUCCAAGUUGCACGUUCCAUAGGUCAGAAGGAUGUACCAACAGCUGGUGCGAUAUUCUACAAGGUACCUUUUGAAGAAGUUCCAGAACUUGUCGCUAGUCGAAGAGUGUUCAUCCUCAAGGGGCAUGCUUAUAUAGCUGCCAAUCAGGUGGUUUCCCUUGUUGCCACACAAUUUCGUAGUCAUUUAUCUAAGGCACUCAUUUUGACAAACAGAAAAUGGACAUCUACAAUAAGAGAACAAGAGAAUGAUCGCUUAUCACCUAUUGUGGAAGCGCUAAGCACAAGUUACUUAGGUCCUGACUAUUCUCAGCCAAAAGGGUUUAGUGAGAUUUCAGUAAAAGACAUUGAGGCGUUGGCGAAGAGUUCAUUUCCUUUGUGUAUGAGGCAUCUAUUUGACAAGCUGAAGGAGGAUCAUCAUCUAAAGCAUGGAGGAAGGAUGCAAUUAGGCCUCUUUCUCAAGGGUGUUGGCUUGAAGCUAGAUGAUGCACUUUCGUUUUGGAAAACUGAGUUCUCUCAAAAGGUUGGUGCAGAGAGGUUUGACAAAGAAUAUGCAUAUGGCAUACGCCAUAAUUAUGGAAGAGAAGGGAAAAGGACGGACUAUACACCUUAUUCUUGUCAAAAAAUCAUCUCAUCAACUCCAAGUGUAGGAGAUCAUCAUGGUUGCCCUUAUCGACAUUUCAGUGAGGAGAAUCUUAGAGCUGCUCUUAGUAAAAUGGGAGUAAACAGCAGGGCUAUGGAAGAUGUAAUGGACAAAGUGCAAAAUAGACACUAUCAGUUGGCAUGCACCUUAACGUUUGAAGCUGUUCAUGGUGCAUCAUGUGAUUCCGGGAUUAACCAUCCGAAUCAAUACUUUAGUGACAGCCAAAAGAUCCUGCAAGCAAAGAACCAUUCGAAUGCUGCCUAAAUAGAUGAAUAUGGAGUUCACCACAGUUGAAAAUACCUGGGCCUACUUGUAGUGACAGAGAGAAUUUGCUCAUUGAUGGUCGACUGCAAUUUUGUCUCAGAUUCGAGUAUAUGGUGUGACAGGAAAAGGUCCCCAUCUAGCAUCAUUUGUAUCAUAUGAAAUGACUCUUUUCAUGAGAUGGGACGAUGUACUAAGCCAUUUAAUAUCGAUGAUGCUUAGUAUUAGUAUUUUCAAUUCUCAGCUUUCUUAGAGAAAAUAUAAUUUCAAUUAUCUUUGUUUAAAACGGAUCUCUUGUGUUAAUCCAGCUCAAGAUUUUUAUUCAAUAUUAUAUUGCUCCAGAAAGAUACGGCUUAUAUGUUUUUGGAAUAAAAAUUUAGUUUAGGUCGUCUCAUUUCAGCUAUCUUAAUUGUAAUUUAUAAGCAGGUUUUGGCCAUGCUGAGCGAUUGUAAUUUGUACUGGACCAUCUAUAUUCUAUACCCUUUUAACACAAUCUGGUA